CUGAGUGAGGGCCCUCGCGGUCCGACCUCCAACCCCAUGUUUUCCGACUCUGUUGCCUCGGGGGCGACCCGGCCCUUUUGGGCGCCGGGGCCCCCGGUGGACCCCUCAACUCUGCAUCUUUGCGUCCGAGUCAAUAUUUGAAUCAAUCA
Molecule: unclassified non-coding RNA, 149 nt
Filed under: uncultured fungus
Lineage: Eukaryota; Fungi
Description: sequence contains ITS1
Source: RNAcentral